This 460-nucleotide ribosomal RNA is filed under the name uncultured bacterium. Its description in RNAcentral is "partial 16S ribosomal RNA". It matches the Rfam family "Bacterial small subunit ribosomal RNA", at positions 338 to 795 of the family's 1533-position model. The record is from RNAcentral.
CCUACGGGAGGCAGCAGUGAGGAAUAUUGGUCAAUGGACGAGAGUCUGAACCAGCCAAGUAGCGUGAAGGAUGACUGCCCUAUGGGUUGUAAACUUCUUUUAUAUGGGAAUAAAAUGUUCCACGUGUGGGGUUUUGUAUUUAACAUAUGAAUAAGGAUCGGCUAAAUACGUGCCAGCAGCCGCGGUAAUACGGAGGAUCCGAGCGUUAUCCGGAUUUAUUGGGGUUAAAGGGAGCGUAGGGGGAUUGUUGAGUCAGUUGUGGAAGUUUGAGGCUCAACCGUCAAAUUGCAGUUGAAACUGGUAGUCUUGAGUACAGUAGAGGUGGGCGGAAGUCGGGGUGUAGCGGUGAAAUGCUUAGAUAUCACGAAGAACUCCGAUUGCGAAGGCAGUUCACUGGACUGCAACUGACACUGAGGCUCGAAAGUGUGGGUAUCAAACAGGAUUAGAUACCCGGGUAGUC